Molecule: long non-coding RNA, 3719 nt
Organism: Brassica napus (rape)
Lineage: Eukaryota; Viridiplantae; Streptophyta; Magnoliopsida; Brassicales; Brassicaceae
Exons: 3
Source: RefSeq, a predicted model, not a curated record
CUCUAAGAGCAUGAUAUAAUAGGAUUCGUAGGGAAAUAUUAGAAACCGUCUCUUAACUUUUAACUAAAAAAAUAAGAACCGGCUUUUAGAUAAGAUGUUUAAGAGUCGGUUCUUAACUUUUUUAUUUAAAAGUUAAAAGAUAGUUUCUUAUAUUCCGUUAAGAACCGACUCUUAAACAUCUUAUCUAAAAGCCUUUUUAUUUUAAAGUUAAAAGAUAGUUUCUAAUCCCACUCUAUUUUUUCCUCUAAAAUAGAGUUUAGAAUAAAAAUAUUCCAAUUGUACUAUUUUUCUACUCUAUAAUAGUGUAAACCUAUUUUUUUUUCUAUAUAUAGAGUAAUUUUUCUUUUGUUCAUCAUUCUAUUUUUCAUUUUAAAAUAGAGUACCAUUGAAACAAUAUCCAACUCUAUUAUAGAGAAAAAAAUAGAGUAAACCACUGGAAAUGAUCUAAAAAACUUAAAAACUCCCAAAGAUCAAAAUAAAAAGGCUUCUUCUUAAUUUAGCCCACCAAAAGCAAAAUGAGCCACUAAUUUAUCUCCUCUCACUCCGGCUUAGCAACAGCCAACAGUUACAUGAGAUACGAAACAGUCUUAGACUUGUUUCUCGUUAGUUUUAUUUAUCUUAAGACUAUACUUGAUCCGAGUUCGUAGGACACUAGUAGCCACUAAGGAAGUUAUCUUUUUCUUCCAAAUUGGACUUCUUGAGUUCUUGUGUAAUCAACAAACGAAGAGGCUUCGAUAAAGAAGAUAGAAAACGCGUUUGACAACAGAGUUGAUGCUGAAAGAACUCUCCGGGAGAUCAAGCUUCUUUGCCACAUGAUAUUAAAAUGAAACAUAAAUGGAGCCACCAGAGAAUGAGGUUCGAAGAUGUGUAUAUUGUUCAGCAGCUGAAACUUAGCACUGAGCUUCGACUUUGAGGACACAACCUUGGAUGAACAAGAGAUCAAGGAUAUCUUAUCUUGAGAGAGUCUUUACACUUCCAGGAUAAGUGGUCUCCCACAAUAUAAGACGCUUGACCGCCAAACCAUGUGCUAUUCGAAGCUGUGAGAAAUAGGUGAAAAUGGUUAGUAGUAUUCUAGUGUGUGUUUUGUAUUGUCAGUGAAUUAUGCAGUCCGAAGAAAGUGACAAGCUUUUGCGUGUUGUAUACGUAUAUAAUAACUCGACAAACACAAAUUUUCUGACUAUUCCAUUUUCCUCAUAGAAAGUAGAAACCAUGGGAAACCGUCAUCUUUUCCAGAGCUUGCGUUUGGAUUUUAUUUUAAGUUAUAUAUAAAAACAUUUAUGAUAUAUCAUAAAAAAAUCAAAACGAUGAUACAUUUCGAGAAUUUAGAUUUUUUUUUGUUCUAAAGUGUGAAAUGGCAUUCGAACAUAUAUCUAUGUAAGACGUUUUCUCGCAUGAGCUAGCGUAUAAUAUAUCUACAAAUAAUUUCUUACCGACCAAACCAUCCAAGAUCAAGCUAAUUUGGCUAUAAUCAGCCUAAAAUAUCUACUUUCACCAAAUUCCAAAAAAACAUAUCCCAACUCAAUAAGAAAAUUCAUGUGACAGUGUGUAUACCCACCUCAUAGGUGAACUUUUGAAAUAUAAUCUACAACCUAGUGUUUUAAUUAACAGAGCUAGUGUGUUGUCAAAAAAAAAAAACAGAUCUAGUGUUGUGACGACUUGUCUACAGUUUAUGAAACUUUAACUGCACGAUUUGUACUACAAUUCCUUCCUACAAAUAUUUGGCCCAAAAACAAAAGCUGCAUAGCUGGUUUAUCAAACUUUCGUAUUCGUUCAUGCAACUAGCCGAUUUUUUAAUAUAUGCUACGUUAAACUAUGCCGGAAAGUAAUAUUCUAGCUGUGCAUACUAUUUGGUGAUUUUGUAUACAAUAUACAAAUCGAAAUUGGACCAAGCAAGUCAACAUCUUCAUAUGUAUACAUAUUUUUGGUGUGUCAAUAAACGUGAAAACAUAUCUAAACGAAACCCUAUUACUACAAAAAGCCAAACACGUCUUAGUUAUAUGAAUGCUGGCUCCAAAUAAUUAAUAAGCAUUAUCUCUGUAUAACCAUACUUUUUUAUAGAUUACAUGUUCCUUUCUUAAUUAAAUAACUUGAGCUGCCAAUCUAACUUCUAAUUUAAACUUAUCUUCUUUAAUGUUUCAAACAAAUGUAGAAAGCAACUAGACCGAAUUAACUUGCUAAUUUAAACUUAUCUUCACUCAAACGUUGAUUGAAAAUCUGAGAUAUUUACACAAUUCAAUUCAAAUUCAAAAAUGACUAGAAUUUUAAAUGCUGGACCAAUACAAUUACGGUUAGGAAGACUGAUUAAACUAAUAUCGUAUAUAUUUAUAACCACACAUGGAUUGCAGACGUAUUUGUGUUGUUGUCAUAUCAACUUAUAUGAAUGGUGUUUUGUGUACGUCUGUAUGUGUGGUAUCCAUAUGUUGUUUUGAGUAAUAUUAAACAAGAAUAAUAAUGUUAGUUUGGCUUGAAUGUUAAUUAUCUAUUUUUCACUAGAGAACAAUUACGUCAUUAUACAACACGAAGUAGAAAAGCAUGUAUAUACAUUAUAUUCCAUACAUGUUAUACUGCUGCUGCAUAUACAUAAAUGAUACGAGCAUAUAGAGCAGUACAUAUAACAUUAAAAUUUUAAAUACACACCAACAUAUGACAAUUUCCAAUUAAGAAUGGUCAUUACUCCUUAGCACUAAAUAUAACCAAAUUUCAUAUUUAUUUAUUAUUUUAUUAUCUGUAUUUUCAUCUUUAAUUUCUAAUUUCAUAAGAAGAUGCAACAAUUAGACAAGAUGCAACAAUAACCGAUUUUUGAUUAUAAUGAUAAAUGGAUACUCGUUACCGCUGCUCGACGCUCGUACGUGUUGUCUGCAACAUGCACAAUGAUCUUGUCAUGAGGAUGUUAGGUUAGAUAAACAUUAUAAGGCAACUUAUUAUGAUUUUGCAAAAUUUGGUGCACUAGGUUUGAAGCGAAAAGAUGAGUUAACUGAUUGUUUAUUUCCACAAAAGUUGUAAUUCUAUGCAUUUUAAGCAUGGACGAGACUAGUUCGCUAAUGCAUGCAUCAUCAGGGAGUCGGAAACUAAUAACGUAAUAUCAUCGUUAAGCAAAAGUCUUUUAACGUGGUAACACCAAGAAAAUUGAUCACGGGUUCCGUAUAAACAAUAGUUUGUGUGAAGUAGCAGAAUAUGACAAUUACGCCUUACGUAACGUUCGUUGGAUAUAGGUGAAAAUGCAGAGAAGCUCUAACGUAGAAUACGAUUAUUUUUAUGUUUUAGCAAAAAUAUAAUAGACAAAAGGUAAAUGCUUUCAACAAAAUGUUUGCCAGCAAAAGAUCAUCUGUCUCGUUGAUGUCUUAAAGGCCUCGAAGGUCAACAGAAUUUCAAUAUUUUACCGAGGGAGUUGUUAUUGUGGUAGCCUAACUAAAGCCUAAUUAAAUGAGAUUAAAUUAAACUGCUCUAAAGUGCUAGGAGUAACAUUAAUAUCAUGUACACGUGUCGCAUUUUCCUUUGAAUUUGGCUUUAAAUGGUUCCCUCGUAACAUAGCCAGCAGCUGAAACGCGUCGUAGUUAAUCACAGUACCGUUGGAACCAUUUAAAACAAAAAGGCCACUCUGCAUGCAUGCCUGCCUGUGUCCCAUUAAUUAGAAAAGUCCUUCUGGUGAGACUUGAACCAACCAAAAAACAAAAAAAAUAUAGUUAGGACAAACAAAGCGCGUGGAUUUAAAACGUGGG